Molecule: non-coding RNA, 29 nt
Filed under: Homo sapiens (human)
Lineage: Eukaryota; Metazoa; Chordata; Mammalia; Primates; Hominidae
Source: RNAcentral
UAACAACAAUCUCGGGCUGGACCUGCAGU